GGCAGUGUGGCAUAGUGGUAAGGAGCAGAGCAUGUAACCGUGAGGUUGCAGGUUCGAUUCCUUGCUUGGGUA
Megalops atlanticus (tarpon) is the source of this 72-nucleotide non-coding RNA. NCBI's taxonomy places the organism in Eukaryota, Metazoa, Chordata, Actinopteri, Elopiformes, Megalopidae. The record is from the annotation of a GenBank genome assembly.